This 491-nucleotide ribosomal RNA is filed under the name uncultured bacterium. RNAcentral describes it as "partial 16S ribosomal RNA". It matches the Rfam family "Bacterial small subunit ribosomal RNA", at positions 29 to 507 of the family's 1533-position model. The record is from RNAcentral.
AGUGAACGCUGGCGGUAGGCCUAACACAUGCAAGUCGAACGGCAGCACAGUAAGAGCUUGCUCUUACGGGUGGCGAGUGGCGGACGGGUGAGGAAUACAUCGGAAUCUACUUUUUCGUGGGGGAUACGUAGGGAAACUUACGCUAAUACCGCAUACGACCUACGGGUGAAAGCAGGGGAUCUUCGGACCUUGCGCGAUUGAAUGAGCCGAUGUCGGAUUAGCUAGUUGGCGGGGUAAAGGCCCACCAAGGCGACGAUCCGUAGCUGGUCUGAGAGGAUGAUCCGCCACACUGGAACUGAGACACGGUCCAGACUCCUACGGGAGGCAGCAGUGGGGAAUAUUGGACAAUGGGCGCAAGCCUGAUCCAGCCAUACCGCGUGGGUGAAGAAGGCCUUCGGGUUGUAAAGCCCUUUUGUUGGGAAAGAAAAGCAGCAGGUUAAUACCCCGCUGUUCUGACGGUACCCAAAGAAUAAGCACCGGCUAACUUCGUG